GACGAACGCUGGCGGCGUGCCUAAUACAUGCAAGUAGAACGCAGUUUCGCACGGGUGUGUAACGCGUAUGUAACUUCCUCAUAGCGGGGGAUACCUUUUUGAAACGAUAGCUAAUACCGCCUACUUUGAGAUGGACCUGCUUUGUAUUAGUUAGUUGGUGAGGCAAACGCUCACCAAGGCGACUAUACAUAGCCGACCUGGGAGGGUGAGCGGCCAAACUGGGACUGGGACACGGCCCAGAAUCCUACGGGAGGCAGGAGUAGGGAAACUUCGGAAAUGGACGGAAGUCUGAACGAGGAAAGCCGGGGGAGAGAAGGAGGGCUUCGGAGCGUAAAGCUCUGUUGAUAGAGAAGCGGUAACUAACCAGAAAGGGACGGCUAACUACGUGCCAGCAGCCGCGGUAAUAC
RNAcentral lists this ribosomal RNA (407 nucleotides) under uncultured bacterium. RNAcentral's name for it is "partial 16S ribosomal RNA". It matches the Rfam family "Bacterial small subunit ribosomal RNA", at positions 28 to 526 of the family's 1533-position model. The record is from RNAcentral.